This 253-nucleotide ribosomal RNA is filed under the name uncultured bacterium. RNAcentral describes it as "partial 16S ribosomal RNA". It matches the Rfam family "Bacterial small subunit ribosomal RNA", at positions 524 to 776 of the family's 1533-position model. The record is from RNAcentral.
UACAGAGGUCUCAAGCGUUGUUCGGAUUCAUUGGGCGUAAAGGGUGUGUAGGUGGCGCCGUAAGUCGGGUGUGAAAUUUCGGAGCUUAACUCCGAAACUGCAUUCGAUACUGCGGUGCUUGAGGACUGGAGAGGAGACUGGAAUUCAUGGUGUAGCAGUGGAAUGCGUAGAGAUCAUGAGGAAGACCAGUGGCGAAGGCGGGUCUCUGGACAGUUCCUGACACUGAGGCACGAAGGCCAGGGGAGCAAACAGG